UUAAAUUGAAGAGUUUGAUCAUGGCUCAGAUUGAACGCUGGCGGCAGGCCUAACACAUGCAAGUCGAACGGUAACAGGAAGCAGCUUGCUGCUUCGCUGACGAGUGGCGGACGGGUGAGUAAUGUCUGGGAAACUGCCUGAUGGAGGGGGAUAACUACUGGAAACGGUAGCUAAUACCGCAUAACGUCGCAAGACCAAAGGGGGGGACCUUCGGGCCUCUUGCCAUCGGAUGUGCCCAGAUGGGAUUAGCUUGUUGGUGGGGUAACGGCUCACCAAGGCGACGAUCCCUAGCUGGUCUGAGAGGAUGACCAGCCACACUGGAACUGAGACACGGUCCAGACUCCUACGGGAGGCAGCAGUGGGGAAUAUUGCACAAUGGGCGCAAGCCUGAUGCAGCCAUGCCGCGUGUAUGAAGAAGGCCUUCGGGUUGUAAAGUACUUUCAGCGGGGAGGAAGGGAGUAAAGUUAAUACCUUUGCUCAUUGACGUUACCCGCAGAAGAAGCACCGGCUAACUCCGUGCCAGCAGCCGCGGUAAUACGGAGGGUGCAAGCGUUAAUCGGAAUUACUGGGCGUAAAGCGCACGCAGGCGGUUUGUUAAGUCAGAUGUGAAAUCCCCGGGCUCAACCUGGGAACUGCAUCUGAUACUGGCAAGCUUGAGUCUCGUAGAGGGGGGUAGAAUUCCAGGUGUAGCGGUGAAAUGCGUAGAGAUCUGGAGGAAUACCGGUGGCGAAGGCGGCCCCCUGGACGAAGACUGACGCUCAGGUGCGAAAGCGUGGGGAGCAAACAGGAUUAGAUACCCUGGUAGUCCACGCCGUAAACGAUGUCGACUUGGAGGUUGUGCCCUUGAGGCGUGGCUUCCGGAGCUAACGCGUUAAGUCGACCGCCUGGGGAGUACGGCCGCAAGGUUAAAACUCAAAUGAAUUGACGGGGGCCCGCACAAGCGGUGGAGCAUGUGGUUUAAUUCGAUGCAACGCGAAGAACCUUACCUGGUCUUGACAUCCACGGAAGUUUUCAGAGAUGAGAAUGUGCCUUCGGGAACCGUGAGACAGGUGCUGCAUGGCUGUCGUCAGCUCGUGUUGUGAAAUGUUGGGUUAAGUCCCGCAACGAGCGCAACCCUUAUCCUUUGUUGCCAGCGGUCCGGCCGGGAACUCAAAGGAGACUGCCAGUGAUAAACUGGAGGAAGGUGGGGAUGACGUCAAGUCAUCAUGGCCCUUACGACCAGGGCUACACACGUGCUACAAUGGCGCAUACAAAGAGAAGCGACCUCGCGAGAGCAAGCGGACCUCAUAAAGUGCGUCGUAGUCCGGAUUGGAGUCUGCAACUCGACUCCAUGAAGUCGGAAUCGCUAGUAAUCGUGGAUCAGAAUGCCACGGUGAAUACGUUCCCGGGCCUUGUACACACCGCCCGUCACACCAUGGGAGUGGGUUGCAAAAGAAGUAGGUAGCUUAACCUUCGGGAGGGCGCUUACCACUUUGUGAUUCAUGACUGGGGUGAAGUCGUAACAAGGUAACCGUAGGGGAACCUGCGGUUGGAUCACCUCCUUACCUUAAAGAAGC
RNAcentral lists this ribosomal RNA (1556 nucleotides) under Escherichia coli FAP1. RNAcentral's name for it is "bacterial SSU rRNA". It matches the Rfam family "Bacterial small subunit ribosomal RNA". Lineage: Bacteria; Pseudomonadati; Pseudomonadota; Gammaproteobacteria; Enterobacterales; Enterobacteriaceae. The record is from RNAcentral.